CAAGAGCGUAUGUAAAAGUUGUUGCAGUUAAAAAGCUCGUAGUUGAACCUUGGGUUUGGUUGGCCGGUCCGCUUUUUUGCGAGUACUGGAUUCAACCGAGCCUUUCCUUCUGGCUAACCAGUCGUUUCGGCGGCUGGCGAACCAGGAUUUUUACUUUGAGAAAAUUAGAGUGUUCAAAGCAGGCAUUAGCUUGAAUAUAUUAGCAUGGAAUAAUAGAAUAGGGCGUUAUGGUUCUAUUUUGUUGGUUUCUAGGACCAUCGUAAUGAUUAAUAGGGACGGUCGGGGGCAUCAGUAUUCAGUUGUCAGAGGUGAAAUUCUUGGAUUUACUGAAGACUAACUACUGCGAAAGCAUUUGCCAAGGACGUUUUCAUUAA
This 374-nucleotide ribosomal RNA is filed under the name uncultured eukaryote. Its description in RNAcentral is "partial 18S ribosomal RNA". It matches the Rfam family "Eukaryotic small subunit ribosomal RNA", at positions 592 to 976 of the family's 1831-position model. The record is from RNAcentral.